UUCAAGUAAUGAGUAGAAACAUUUAGAAGAGUUCGGUUACGCAAUAAUAAUGAUAUCUCUGAAAGUUGAAUUUGUAUUUUGCUUGAAAGUAUUUAAUUUUUGUAAAUGUUUUUACUCAUUAUUAGGUC
Molecule: microRNA precursor, 128 nt
Filed under: Glycine max (soybean)
Lineage: Eukaryota; Viridiplantae; Streptophyta; Magnoliopsida; Fabales; Fabaceae
Description: miR9729 stem-loop (gma-MIR9729)
Source: miRBase by way of RNAcentral